This 479-nucleotide ribosomal RNA is filed under the name uncultured bacterium. RNAcentral's name for it is "partial 16S ribosomal RNA". It matches the Rfam family "Bacterial small subunit ribosomal RNA", at positions 28 to 507 of the family's 1533-position model. The record is from RNAcentral.
GAUGAACGCUAGCGGGAGGCCUAACACAUGCAAGCCGAGCGGUAGAGUCUCUUCGGAGCCUUGAGAGCGGCGCACGGGUGCGGAACACGUGUGCAACCUGCCUUUAUCUGGGGGAUAGCCUUUCGAAAGGAAGAUUAAUACCCCAUAAUAUACUGGAUGGCAUCAUCUGGUAUUGAAAACUCCGGUGGAUAGAGAUGGGCACGCGCAAGAUUAGAUAGUUGGUGAGGUAACGGCUCACCAAGUCAGCGAUCUUUAGGGGGCCUGAGAGGGUGAUCCCCCACACUGGUACUGAGACACGGACCAGACGCCUACGGGAGGCAGCAGUGAGGAAUAUUGGACAAGGGGUGAGAGCCUGAUCCAGCCAUCCCGCGUGAAGGACGACGGCCCUAUGGGUUGUAAACUUCUUUUGUAUAGGGAUAAACCUAGAUACGUGUAUCUAGCUGAAGGUACUAUACGAAUAAGCACCGGCUAACUCCGUG